This is a long non-coding RNA of Motacilla alba alba, 349 nucleotides long. RefSeq lists it as uncharacterized. The transcript is spliced from 3 exons. The record is from RefSeq and is a predicted model, not a curated record. NCBI's taxonomy places the organism in Eukaryota, Metazoa, Chordata, Aves, Passeriformes, Motacillidae.
UAACAGUUCUCCAAGCAAAAAUGGAGGAAAUCCGGAAACGCUACCGGUUGCUGAAAGCUGAGUUGGCUGCCAUUGACCGGACAAAGCGUUUAAAGAAAAAAAAAGAGCUGGAAAGGGAUGCUGCCACAUCAAGUUCUUCACCAAAUGGAAUGUCAGGGGAAUGCAGCAGAAAGCAAAAGUGUGGCCCAGCAUUAAUGCAGCACCUGUCAAAACAAAGCUGAAUUUUGUUUCCUGUUCAUUAUGGUAGUUCGAAAAUAUCAAGGCAAGCUCCUGAAAAUAUUUGCUGACUCCUUGUAUCAGCUGCCUCGAGGUCAGAUUCAUUGGAAUUGAAACUGGAAUAAAUAUUCUA